Molecule: ribosomal RNA, 496 nt
Filed under: uncultured Microbacterium sp.
Lineage: Bacteria; Bacillati; Actinomycetota; Actinomycetes; Micrococcales; Microbacteriaceae
Description: bacterial SSU rRNA
Rfam family: Bacterial small subunit ribosomal RNA
Source: RNAcentral
CCACGCCGCUCAGAAACUACAAAGGAAGUGACGGGACCGCACAAGCGGCGGAGCAUGCGGAUUAAUUCGAUGCAACGCGAAGAACCUUACCAAGGCUUGACACAUAGAGGAAACGUCUGGAAACAGUCGCCCCGCAAGGUCUCUAUACAGGUGGUGCAUGGUUGUCGUCAGCUCGUGUCGUGAGAUGUUGGGUUAAGUCCCGCAACGAGCGCAACCCUCGUUCUAUGUUGCCAGCACGUAAUGGUGGGAACUCAUGGGAUACUGCCGGGGUCAACUCGGAGGAAGGUGGGGAUGACGUCAAAUCAUCAUGCCCCUUAUGUCUUGGGCUUCACGCAUGCUACAAUGGCCGGUACAAAGGGCUGCAAUACCGUAAGGUGGAGCGAAUCCCAAAAAGCCGGUCCCAGUUCGGAUUGAGGUCUGCAACUCGACCUCAUGAAGUCGGAGUCGCUAGUAAUCGCAGAUCAGCAACGCUGCGGUGAAUACGUUCCCGGGUCUU